This is a long non-coding RNA of Oncorhynchus nerka (sockeye salmon), 1150 nucleotides long. RefSeq lists it as uncharacterized. The transcript is spliced from 2 exons. NCBI's taxonomy places the organism in Eukaryota, Metazoa, Chordata, Actinopteri, Salmoniformes, Salmonidae. The record is from RefSeq and is a predicted model, not a curated record.
GAUCGCCGUGCCAACUCCAUUCGCCGGUAUCUCUCCUCACAUUGUUCCAGAGAAUCCCAGGCGGGCUCCGACAUUCUCCCUGGGUCAACCGACCACCUCUCUAUUUCGUCCCAUGUUGUAACAUAGUCCAGAUCUUGCUGCUGCUGCUGCUGCCCGUUACCACGCUGCUUGGUCCUUUGGUGGUGGGUGGUUUUGUUACGGCUGUCUUGGGAAGAAGGUGAGGACCAAAGUGCAGGGUGACAGCCAGGAUGAGAGGUUCUGUCUCUGACUCACAGACAGCAAGGACGAGAGGUUCUGUCUCUGACACACAGACAGCCAGGAGGAGAGGUUCUGUCUCUGACUCACAGACAGCCAGGAGGAGAGGUUCUGUCUCUGACUCACAGAUGACCAGGAGGAGGAGAGGUUCUGUCUCUGACUCACAGACAGCCAGGAGGAGAGGUUCUGUCUCUGACUCACAGACGGCCAGGAGGAGAGGUUCUGUCUCUGACUCACAGACGGCCAGGAGGAGAGGUUCUCUGAUUUUUUCCAGACGGUUUCAGUCAAAAGAACAUAUCUUUCAAUACAUUUUGUUAAUUUGAUGCCCCCCUACUGGUGAACGUUGAACUGAAGACUUGAAAGAGUCAGGAUUCAAGAAACCUCUGGUUCUCAUGUCGUUCACCAUGGGGAGCUUAUUCAUUGGAGCGAUCAUUUGUGACUCAGCCUUGUGUAAUGUGUGCUUUUAAACAAUGUACAAUUUGUUGAUUGCUAGGCACACAAAUACAAUUAUUUCUUGAUACAUUUGAAACCAGAUAUAGUUCCGGCCACAACCGAACUAGAUCAUGAACAACUUUAGGCGAAUGUCACGCCCUGACAUUCGAGAUCCUUUUUAUGUCUCUAUUUUGGUUUUGGUCAGGGCGUGAGUUGGGGUGGGCAUUCUAUAUUUUAUGUUUCUGUGAUUUUCUAUUUCUAUGUUUUGGCCGGGUAUGGUUCUCAAUCAGGGACAGCUGUCUAUCGUUGUCUCUAAUUGGGAACCAUACUUAGGUACCCUUUUUCCCACCUGUGUUUGUGGGAAGUUGACUUUCUUUAUGGCACUUAGCCUUAAGCGUCACUGUUUUGUAGUGUGAGUUGUUUUGUUCGGCGUAUGUUCUUAAUUAAAGAUCAUGUACGCUCA